This 254-nucleotide ribosomal RNA is filed under the name uncultured bacterium. Its description in RNAcentral is "partial 16S ribosomal RNA". It matches the Rfam family "Bacterial small subunit ribosomal RNA", at positions 524 to 776 of the family's 1533-position model. The record is from RNAcentral.
GACAUAGGGGGCGAACGUUAUCCGGAAUUAUUGGGCGUAAAGGAUGCGUAGAUGGUAGAAUAAGUUACUGGGCGAUGCCAAACUCAAUUUGGCGGAAGCCGAUAAUACUGUUCUACUCGAGGGCAGGAGAGGUUGUUGGAAUUCUGUGUGGAGCGGUGAAAUGCGUUGAUCUACAGAGGAACACCAAAAAAGGCGAAGGCAAUCAACUAUUCUGUUCCUGACAUUGAGGCAUGAAAGCGUGGGGAGCAAACCGG